RNAcentral lists this ribosomal RNA (1881 nucleotides) under human gut metagenome. RNAcentral's name for it is "bacterial LSU rRNA". It matches the Rfam family "Bacterial large subunit ribosomal RNA", at positions 3 to 1980 of the family's 2925-position model. The record is from RNAcentral.
UCAAGCUAGAAAGAGCGCAAGGGGAAUGCCUUGGCAUCAGGAGCCGAUGAAGGACGCGACAAGCUGCGAUAAGCUUCGGGUAGCUGCAAAUAAGCAAUGAUCCGGAGAUUUCCGAAUGGGGCAACCCGGCACGGCAAUACCGUGUCAGCGUGCACUGAAUCAAAUAGGUGUACGUGGGGAACCGCCUGAACUGAAACAUCUAAGUAGGGCGAGGAAAAGACAUCAACCGAGAUUCCGCAAGUAGUGGCGAGCGAACGCGGAGUAGGCCAAACCAGAGGUCAUUGAUCUCUGGGGUAAGGACUUGCAUCACGAUCAGAGGUAUCUAGUCGAAUGGCGUGGGAAAGCCAACCACAGAGGGUGAGAGUCCCGUAGACGAAAGAGAAGACUGACAGCGAGUAUCCAGAGUACCGCCGGACACGUGAAACCCGGUGGGAACAUGGGAGGACCACCUUCCAAGCCUAAAUACUACCUGAUGACCGAUAGAGAAGCAGUACCGUGAGGGAAAGGUGAAAAGAACCCCGGGAGGGGAGUGAAAUAGUACCUGAAACCUUGUGCUUACAAGCAGUCAGAGCACGUUAAAGUGUGAUGGCGUACCUUUUGUAGAAUGGUCCGGCGAGUUAUAGUCACUGGCGAGGUUAAGCAAUUCAGUUGUGGAGCCGAAGGGAAACCGAGUCUUAAUAGGGCGUCGAGUCAGUGGCCAUAGACCUGAAACCGGGUGACCUAUCCAUGAGCAGGUUGAAGUUGGUGUAAAAGCCAAUGGAGGACCGAACCCACGUUCGUUGCAAUGACCGGGGAUGACUUGUGGAUAGCGGAGAAAUUCCAAUCGAACUCGGAGAUAGCUGGUUCUCCCCGAAAUAGCUUUAGGGCUAGCCUCAUAUUAGAUACCCGGAGGUAAAGCACUGAAUGGCCUAGCGCCCGAGAGGGUAGCGAAGCCUAUCAAACUAAGAAUGCCGGAGUAUUGAUGUAUGGGAGUCAGACAGUGUGAGAUAAAUCUCAUUGUCAAAAGGGAAACAGCCCAGAUCUACAGCUAAGGUCCCAAAUUGUAUCUAAGUGGAAAACGAUGUGGAAAUACGCAGACAACCAGGAUGUUGGCUCAGAAGCAGCCACUCAUUUAAAGAGUGCGUAAUAGCUCACUGGUCGAGCGUCUCUGCGCGGAAAAUUUAACGGGGCUAAGAUACAAACCGAAGCUUAGGCUGCACUUUUAGUGCGGGGUAGGGGAGCGUUGUGUAAGCGGAGAAACAGUAGCGUAAGCGGCUGUGGAGUUUACAGAAGUGAGAAUGCCGGAAUGAGUAGCGCGAAUGUGGUGAGAAUCCACAUGGCCGGAAACCUCAGGUUUUUGGAGGAAGGUUCGUCCGCUCCAAGUUAGGCGGGAGCUAAGGUCAGGCCGAAAGGCGUAGCCGAUGCACAGACGGUAGAGAUUCCGUCCCCACCGAAAGAUUUAAGCACAGGGACACUUUUUGAAGGUCGGAGCCAGGUGUUGGUUCUGGUAGUGAUCGAGGGAAAUAUAGUACCGAAGUCCGGCUGGAUAAGAGGCGAGAAAAGCUGUGUGUAUAUCUAAGGUGCCCGUACCGCAAACCGACACAGGUAGGUAGGAAGAAGAUUCUAAGGCCAACGGGAGAAGGGUUGUUAAGGAACUCGGCAAAUUGACCCCGUAACUUCGGGAGAAGGGGUGCUCCAGAGAUGGAGCCGCAGAGAAUCGGCCCAAGCAACUGUUUACCAAAAACACAGGUUUGUGCUAAAUCGAAAGAUGACGUAUACGAGCUGACGCCUGCCCGGUGCUGGAAGGUUAAGAGGAGAUGUGCAAGCAUUGAAUCGAAGCCCCAGUGAACGGCGGCCGUAACUAUAACGGUCCUAAGGUAGCGAAAUUCCUUGUCAGGUAAG